AGAGUUUGAUCCUGGCUCAGGACUAACGCUGGCGGCGUGCCUAACACAUGCAAGUCGAGCGGGGUAGCAAUACCCAGCGGCAGACGGGUGAGUAACACGUGGUCAACCUUCCCUACAGUGGGGGAUAACUAGCCGAAAGGUUAGCUAAUACCGCAUGACAUCCACGAUCGGCAUCGGUUGUGGAUAAAAGGAGCAAUCCG
This 200-nucleotide ribosomal RNA is filed under the name uncultured bacterium. Its description in RNAcentral is "partial 16S ribosomal RNA". It matches the Rfam family "Bacterial small subunit ribosomal RNA", at positions 8 to 217 of the family's 1533-position model. The record is from RNAcentral.